AUACGUAGGUGGCAAGCGUUGUCCGGAAUUACUGGGUGUAAAGGGAGCGCAGGCGGGGAGACAAGUCAGCUGUGAAAUGUAUGGGCUUAACCCAUAAAUUGCAGUUGAAACUGUUUUCUUGAGUGGAGUAGAGGUAGGCGGAAUUCCGAGUGUAGCGGUGAAAUGCGUAGAUAUUCGCAGGAACACCAGUGGCGAAGGCGGCUCACUGGUCCAUUACUGACGCUGAGGUGCGAAAGCGUGGGGAGC
RNAcentral lists this ribosomal RNA (246 nucleotides) under uncultured bacterium. RNAcentral's name for it is "partial 16S ribosomal RNA". It matches the Rfam family "Bacterial small subunit ribosomal RNA", at positions 523 to 769 of the family's 1533-position model. The record is from RNAcentral.